UAUACAGUCGGGUUCGGGGUUUCGGGCGGCCAUGGCGAAUUUUCGGCAGGAUUUUACCCCAGUGAAAAAGGCUUGUAAUCCACAGUGAUCAGCUAAGAUGUUAUUUCACUGGAUUAUUUAAUUGGGCAUAUAAUUGGAUAAUUCUGUCCUCAACAUGGAAGAUAUGUAUUGUUCCUAACCAUCUAUAAUCCAUUCUCUAUGAAGUUCAGACUGUCUGCUCUUCCUUUGGAAAUACACAGUUAGUCAACCAACAUAGAAACACACAAACUUGAAGGAUUCUCUAGUGAGGGCUUAUGGAAAUGAUCUAUAUCUACUCUUAGAAUGGUGAAAGACUAUCAGAUUAUGCAAAGACUAACAGAAUAUCCUCUCUUGGAACACUGAAACAAGAAAAUCAAACAGGAGAUGGAUGGAGGAUUUAAGAAGAACAGAGAUAAAUAUAAUUUCCAACGAAUUUAACCAGUACGAUCAUAGACUGUGGUUUACAGGAUGACAAAGUAACAGGAUUGUAUCAUUUUACUGUCAGACACUGACUAUGGAUAAGAUGUACCCAUUUAUUAAACUGAGAUCUAGUCAAAUCAAGUAUUGAGAACAUGAUUUUCUGAAAGCAUGAACUCUUUAAAAAUUAAUUCUCACAGACCUCAAAGUAUCUGAAUGUGACUUUUAUUUUUUUACCAAUUC
Molecule: long non-coding RNA, 678 nt
Organism: Saccostrea cuccullata (small rock oyster)
Lineage: Eukaryota; Metazoa; Mollusca; Bivalvia; Ostreida; Ostreidae
Exons: 4
Source: RefSeq, a predicted model, not a curated record